This 225-nucleotide ribosomal RNA is filed under the name uncultured bacterium. Its description in RNAcentral is "partial 16S ribosomal RNA". It matches the Rfam family "Bacterial small subunit ribosomal RNA", at positions 336 to 573 of the family's 1533-position model. The record is from RNAcentral.
UUCCUACGGGAGGCAGCAGUGGGGAAUAUUGCACAAUGGGCGGAAGCCUGAUGCAGCAACGCCGCGUGCGGGAUGACGGCCUUCGGGUUGUAAACCGCUUUCGCCUGUGACGAAGCGUGAGUGACGGUAAUGGGUAAAGAAGCACCGGCUAACUACGUGCCAGCAGCCGCGGUGAUACGUAGGGUGCGAGCGUUGUCCGGAUUUAUUGGACGUAAAGGGCUCGUA